UAUAAAACUGUCACAACUUCUUACAGAUUCCUUUCGUUUAGGUUUUAUAUAGAUAACUGCAUAGUUAACUUCUCUGAAGUAGAAAAGAAAUUGCCUUUUUAAUAUAUCCCAUCCUCAAUCACAAUCAAAGGUUUCUUCAUGCAUUCCCAUUAAAAUCUUCACAAUUAAAGAUCUGCAUGUCCCGAGCCUUAUCAGGAACUAAGUGAAAUUUUGUGAUGAUUCAUCCUAAAUUUCUCAUGGGUCUCUUCUCUUCCUACUUCAUGCUUCUAUUUGGAUGCCUCAAAAUUGGUGCUUAAAUGUGUCUUUUGUAAGUUUACUUUCCAUUUAUUUUUUUCAAUUUCAGGGUGGAGAGUCUAGCAAAAUGUGGAGAGUGGCACUACUGAAAUACGUUUCAAUUAGGUACCAGUCGGUGCGUUGAGUCCCCUGGUCUUCAAGAAUUACAUACAUUACUUCUAGGAGCAAAGAAAAUGUCAAACUGUGAUGAAAAUGUUCAUGCUGUUAGUAUACAGUGGAACGGUGAGACAGUUGAUGUCACGACGGAUGGAGAUGCAGAAUAGAGUGUUUAACACUGCUGAGAGAUUAGUGAUGGUCAAGAGGACAAAUGAUCUUAAUAGCAUGAAGGUCACAGUUUCCACUCUAUUGCAAUUGAAUGUAAAGUUAGUCCCCAUUGGUUAGAGAAAACAAAGUUUUACAACUAUCAGUUACCACCAGAAGAUGUUUCUUUUGCUCAUCUAGAGACACAACUAAGUUUCUCAAUUUAUCUAAAGAUGUCCAAUGAAUUCUUGGCAAGACUUACCAGUUGGGCUAUGUUAGUUCAGUCAAGAGGGGUGAAGAUGUCAAUCAUGGGUGGGGAAGACAAAUAUUAGACACCAUCACUCCAUAGACAAAAGUGUUGAAGUUAUUUUUUAUUGUAAUCUCAUUAAAUUUUCGAGGGAAGUCAAAGUGUUCUUAUAUGAUUAGGAGAAUGAAUAUGUUCAUCCGAAA
This is a long non-coding RNA of Capsicum annuum, 984 nucleotides long. RefSeq lists it as uncharacterized. The transcript has 3 exons. Lineage: Eukaryota; Viridiplantae; Streptophyta; Magnoliopsida; Solanales; Solanaceae. The record is from RefSeq and is a predicted model, not a curated record.